Long non-coding RNA from Clupea harengus (Atlantic herring), 1040 nucleotides. Lineage: Eukaryota; Metazoa; Chordata; Actinopteri; Clupeiformes; Clupeidae. The record is from Ensembl.
GUUGAGGUCAUGAUUAAGUAAAAAUAGAGUAAAAGAAAAAAGAAAAUUACAAAGUCCCCAGCGGAGGUCGGAGGUGAGUCUGCAGAAACACUCCUGAAAUGUCAUUAAUACCCAACAGGAGCGGAGACAUUGAUAUUCCUGCCACUCGGCACAAGAGCGUGAGCGAGAGAGAGACCGACAGGCCGGCGGAGCCGACUUUAACCUCCGCGGAGGAGUGGAGUCACUCAUCAGCCGGGGAAAACAUUUGCUUGGAAAAUAAAAUGUUCCUUGAGCCUUGAGGGAUUGUGGCCACAUGCUUAUUGACGGGGGCCACGUCUCCGUGUCCUUAAAAGGGGGGGGGACCGUGUCCCCCUGUCCCCAUUCAUUCCCGCUGAUUUGAGGGCACUUUUGUCUGGGAGAUGACUCUCAUCUGGACAAUCUAACUGUAGAUUACCGCGAUAUGGAACCAUAUGAUUCCCCGAGCAGGAUUGCUUAUUCAUUGUUGACUUCCUACUCGCGACUCAGAAAAAUAACACAUUCACAGAAAUUGCUUUUUCUGUGGACUCUGAGGCUCACAGCAGAGCAGUGAGGUCUGGGACACAAAUCAUGUCGGUAAUAACCUGCUCGAGCACCAGAAAACAUCACUGCCAAUCUCCUCAGGAAAGAAAAAAAAAAAGCCAUAAAAAGAUGGGAGAUGAUGUGGACAAAGAAUGAGACACAGUUAGAGGUGCUGACUUUCAAUCUGAGCGAGAGUCAGGCAUGGGUCAACGGGUCGGCGCUGGAAAGGUGACACCUCGCCCCCCUGGCGCCCAUCAAAGCGGUGAUUUGGCCACGCGGGGGUCUCGCUCUCUCUCUGUCUCUCUCUCGGAGUAGUAACCACAGCCAGACCCAUUUUGAGAGGUCUUAUGACACAAAAAAUCAAGGAGUACACACACACACAGAUCACAUUCUCUCUCUGUCUCGGAGUAGUAACCACAGCCAGGACCCAUUCGAGGGGCAGCACUUAUCUUGGGUCACACUUGCUCUUAUGAGACACAAAUCAACAACUAGCCAGCGCCAUG